AGAUUGAACGCUGGCGGCAUGCCUUACACAUGCAAGUCGAACGGCAGCACGGGAGCAAUCCUGGGUGGCGAGUGGCGAACGGGUGAGUAAUAUAUCGGAACGUGCCCAGUCGUGGGGGAUAACGCAGUGAAAGCUGUGCUAAUACCGCAUACGAUCUAUGGAUGAAAGUCGGGGGACUCGCAAGAGCCUCGCGCGAUUGGAGCGGCGAUAUCAGAUUACGCGUUAGGUUGGGUAGGGGGUAAAACGCCCCGAACCGAAGGCGACGAUUCCGUGUAGCUGGUCUGGAGACGGACGACCCAGCCCAC
Molecule: ribosomal RNA, 305 nt
Filed under: uncultured soil bacterium
Lineage: Bacteria
Description: bacterial SSU rRNA
Rfam family: Bacterial small subunit ribosomal RNA
Source: RNAcentral